ACCCCGUUGGAAAAGCCUAAGGGAUAACGCCAAUAGACCUUAAUGGGGGCAUAGUCCCACAGGUUGGGUCCUGUGCUGGCCCCUGCUGGUUGAGCUUCUCACCUUCUCUGGACUUUCCAUCAGCAGCCCAUCAGCACCCGUAACCUCUCUGGGACAUGUACAAAAUAUAUAUUUUUUCUAUUUCACGCAUUUUGGUUUCAUUUUCUCAUUGUAUCUCACCUGAAACACACACUCAAACCUAACAUUUCCCCUAUCAUGACUCUCCGAGAGAGUUGUUAUCUUGACUUAGGAUCACUCUCAAGAGAGAGCCCUCAAGACCAAACACCAAAAUAUCAUUACAACACUAUUCUAUUGGAAAGUAAAAUUCUGAUUGAGUUAAGUAGUCUUGCUGGUCUAUGGUACCUUUCACAUACAUCUGGAUCAAAUACAUUAUGUCCCUCAAUCCACUUGAAUAGUAUGUAUCCAAAUAUUCAUCUCAGGUAAGAAAAAUGGAGGUGAAAUGUGCUUAAAGUUCCCCAGUUCACUUAUACAGUGGUGCAUUAGUCAUGCAGCAAUGCCUUAUCAAGCAUCUAACAUGUGUUAGUCACAGUGCUACAUAAUGGAGAUACAGUGAACAGGUCAUUAUGUGAUCAGAUUUUGUUGAUGAAAACUCAUAGUUGGCUGCAAGAUGAACACAGUAGAGGGUCAAAUGGCAGAUAUUAGAAGGCAAUUCGAUGCUUAAUUGAGAGAGAAUGGAAAGGUGAAAAACCCACAGGACUUGAUGCUUGGAGAGAGGAAGAAGGAGGUAUCAAAGAUGUCUCCCACUUUUCCAAAUUCUUAUUUGGAUGAUGUUCUAAGGAGAGCUUCUAACAACAAUCAUG
This 860-nucleotide long non-coding RNA is filed under the name Homo sapiens (human). RNAcentral's name for it is "HSALNT0318286". Lineage: Eukaryota; Metazoa; Chordata; Mammalia; Primates; Hominidae. The record is from RNAcentral.